Molecule: ribosomal RNA, 460 nt
Filed under: uncultured bacterium
Lineage: Bacteria
Description: partial 16S ribosomal RNA
Rfam family: Bacterial small subunit ribosomal RNA
Source: RNAcentral
CCUACGGGAGGCAGCAGUGAGGAAUAUUGGUCAAUGGACGAGAGUCUGAACCAGCCAAGUAGCGUGAAGGAUGACUGCCCUAUGGGUUGUAAACUUCUUUUAUAAAGGAAUAAAACGAGGCACGUGUGCCUGUUUGCAUGUACUUUAUGAAUAAGGAUCGGCUAACUCCGUGCCAGCAGCCGCGGUAAUACGGAGGAUCCGAGCGUUAUCCGGAUUUAUUGGGUUUAAAGGGAGCGUAGAUGGGUUGUUAAGUCAGUUGUGAAAGUUUGCGGCUCAACCGUAAAAUUGCAAUUGAUACUGGCAGUCUUGAGUACAGUUGAGGUAGGCGGAAUGCGUGGUGUAGCGGUGAAAUGCUUAGAUAUCACGAAGAACCCCGAUUGCGAAGGCAGCUUACUAAACUGUGACUGACAUUGAUGCUCGAAAGUGUGGGUAUCAAACAGGAUUAGAUACCCGGGUAGUC